CAGCAGCCGCGGGAAUACGUAGGGUGCAAGCGUUAAUCGGAAUUACUGGGCGUAAAGCGUGCGCAGGCGGUGUUGUAAGACUGAUGUGAAAUCCCCGGGCUCAACCUGGGAAUGGCAGUGGAUACUGGCAAGCUAGAGUGUGUCAGAGGAUGGUGGAAUUCCCGGUGUAGCGGUGAAAUGCGUAGAGAUCGGGAGGAACAUCAGUGGCGAAGGCGGCCAUCUGGGACAACACUGACGCUGAGGCACGAAAGCGUGGGGAGCAAACAGGAUUAGAUACCCCCGUAGUCCCUGUCUCUUAUAU
Molecule: ribosomal RNA, 301 nt
Filed under: uncultured bacterium
Lineage: Bacteria
Description: partial 16S ribosomal RNA
Rfam family: Bacterial small subunit ribosomal RNA
Source: RNAcentral